Long non-coding RNA from Patella vulgata (common limpet), 1108 nucleotides. RefSeq lists it as uncharacterized. NCBI's taxonomy places the organism in Eukaryota, Metazoa, Mollusca, Gastropoda, Patellidae. The transcript has 12 exons. The record is from RefSeq and is a predicted model, not a curated record.
AAGGAGGAGGACGUGGGUCAGGUAUUUUCUAUCUACGCAUCUAGUUACGCAGGUUUGUGUAGUAAGACAAGAUGUCUAUUUAUCAUGUACCUGAUCCAGAAGAACUAAUAGAAUGUCCCUACGACAAGGUUCAUAUGAUCCGAGCCAAGAGAUAUCAAUAUCAUUUAAUGAAAUGUAGACAGAAUCAUGCUGGCCAGGACUAUGCUAUCUGUCCAUUUAAUGCUAAACAUGAGAUGCCAAAACCUGAACUGCGAUAUCACAUGUCCAACUGUCCAUUCCGUGUAGCUGUUGAAAGAGAAAUAGAAUAUGAUGAAAAUCGUCGUAAUGGAGAGAAGAUGGAUUUAAAAGGAUGUACUGAUGUGCCACCAUAUAAUGCUGCUUGUACCAUACUUGAUGAAAACUGGGAUGCUGAGAUUCCAAUCCAUGCCAGAAUGGGAGUGGAUCCAAGUUUUUUUGAGAAUCUACAGUACAGAAAUACUUCUGGUAUGCAGAGAUCAGAGAGAAAGGAAUUUUACCAGAAGCUUCGAGACAAGGAACUAGGAAUUGAAACACCAAGCGUAACCAAUGCAAAGACAAGUCAGCUUCGUAUUCCCAAUCAGAAAUCCAAGGCAGCUUUAAUGCACCAGAAUACAACUAAACAUCAUUCAUUUGAUGUAUUUGCAUAUUCUUUAUCUAUGGCUGGUAUCGGAAGAGGCAAAUCUCUUUUACGGUGUAAAAAUGAGGAAGUGGCUCCACCUGUUCCCAGGAGACCUGGUGAUUUGGUUGAUGAGUUAGUCAGACGACUGACCGUUUUGAGUGAUCAAACAACUGGAGCCAGCAGUCGACCAGGAAGACAAUCUACUACAACAUCACCUACCAACAAUGUUAUGGAAAUGUAUUCGAGUGGAGCAGCUACUCAGUAAGGAGAUAUAUGAUUUGAAAAUGCUAAGAAUGCAAAUUAUUGGAUAAAUUGAUGUUUAGUUAUAAUAAUUCAGGAAGAAUUUCAAAUUUUGAAUUUUAAGUUAUAUUAGACAGGAAGAUUUCCAAAUUUUAUUAGAAUAAUUCGGGAAGAAUUCAAAGCUUAGUUGGAAUAAUUCAGAAAGAAUUUAAACUUUUGUUAGAAUAAUUC